This 466-nucleotide long non-coding RNA is filed under the name Gallus gallus (chicken). Its description in RNAcentral is "lncRNA (ENSGALG00010011046.1)". Lineage: Eukaryota; Metazoa; Chordata; Aves; Galliformes; Phasianidae. The record is from RNAcentral.
AGAACAGACUGGGCUGGGGAGGGAUUAGGGCAGCAUUGUUCUCAACUUGGAACACACUGCUUGUAUUGCCUCUCCUUUGACAUCUUUCUGGAGUCAGUGAUGAUAACCAAGUUGGGUUUUGGUUCUACGUUUUGAAAAUGUCCUUACAAGUGAGGAAAAGGCUGAAAAUCAAUCAAGUGUGGGCUUCAUCUUUCAUAACACAAGUAGAAAUCUGUGUUAAAUAUCCCACACGGAGACGUGAGGUCAGCAGUGUAAGUCUGCUCAGCAUCGCCUGCCGCUGUGCUGUGUGCUUCAGGAACACCCAAGGGAUGGGGGAAGAACCGAGUCCUACUGACUUACAUAGACCAAAGGCAGCUCGCUGCUCCGUUCUCACUAAGCUGGGAUACAUCAGCUCAAGUUUGGAAACGUUCAAGCUGAAAUCAGCCUGAUGUGUUUUGAAAACGCGGACUGAUGGUUUUAAGAGCAG